This 74-nucleotide transfer RNA is filed under the name Caudoviricetes sp. Its description in RNAcentral is "tRNA-OTHER". It matches the Rfam family "tRNA". From Rfam's summary of the family: Transfer RNA (tRNA) molecules are approximately 80 nucleotides in length. The record is from RNAcentral. Lineage: Duplodnaviria; Heunggongvirae; Uroviricota; Caudoviricetes.
AAAUGUGUAGCUCAGUGGUUAGAGCAUCUAUCGUAGAGUAGAGGGUCAACAGUUCGAAUCUGUUCACAUUUCCA